Molecule: RNA transcript, 717 nt
Organism: Triticum dicoccoides
Lineage: Eukaryota; Viridiplantae; Streptophyta; Magnoliopsida; Poales; Poaceae
Exons: 3
Source: RefSeq, a predicted model, not a curated record
AGCGGUCGAAGCGACCCGCUUUCCCUCGAGAUGCCCACCGCAGGAUAGUGAUUUAGAGGACGUAUUACCGUGUCAGACUUCUGUCACGGUUCCUGUCGUCAUAGGGUAACAGCUCCACCGUAUCCUCUGUAUUUUUUUGUCUCUACCCGCCCCCUUGCAUACCGACGCGGCCCGUGAGCACGGCUGAUUUCUCUCCCCUAUACAGCGCUCUGCUCGGUCUCCCAACUCCUCGCUGUAAUGGAUCGGGUGCAAGGAGGCGAGUCAAUGGCGCCGGCGCUCGCCGCACCGGGAACCUCCCCGGCGGCCGACUGCAGCCGGAGCACAGAUCCACCAACCAAGCCGCCGGCGACCCGUCCUCCGCAGUCAGGUCGAUCGAUGGAGGGUGGUCGGGGUCGGAUCUAUCGUGGCGUCCAGACAUCCAGGAUAUCGCGCGAGUCCCAGACGAAACGCCAUACUCUAAAGUUGAAAACCCUCCGCGCGUCUGCAUCCUGUGCCUUGUACAUGGCGCCCGGCUGUCUUGUGCCUUGUACAUGGCACGUGACGGUACCAUACUCCACGGUCACAUGACUGCCAGACAUCUGCAGCUGUGCCAUCUGCAAAUGUGCUAGGCACAUUAUUCAACUUGGGUGUUGCCAAACCCAUGGUGAGCGGCUGGUGAUACGUCCGACAAUUCCCAUGUGCCAGGUACAUGUUUUAGCAUGAUAUACUUACCGUGAU